UUGGCGGACGGGUGAGUAACGCGUGGGUAACCUGCCUUACACAGGGGGAUAACACUUAGAAAUAGGUGCUAAUACCGCAUGAGCGCACAGGACCGCAUGGUCGAGUGUGAAAAACUGAGGUGGUGUAAGAUGGACCCGCGUCUGAUUAGCUAGUUGGUGAGGUAACGGCCCACCAAGGCGACGAUCAGUAGCCGGCCUGAGAGGGUGAACGGCCACAUUGGGACUGAGACACGGCCCAAACUCCUACGGAAGGCAGCAG
This 259-nucleotide ribosomal RNA is filed under the name uncultured bacterium. RNAcentral describes it as "partial 16S ribosomal RNA". It matches the Rfam family "Bacterial small subunit ribosomal RNA", at positions 95 to 354 of the family's 1533-position model. The record is from RNAcentral.